This 960-nucleotide ribosomal RNA is filed under the name Triticum aestivum (bread wheat). RNAcentral's name for it is "partial small subunit ribosomal RNA". The record is from RNAcentral. Lineage: Eukaryota; Viridiplantae; Streptophyta; Magnoliopsida; Poales; Poaceae.
AUGGCGUCGACGGCCGGGGUGGUCCUCUCCAUCAAGGACUCCUUCCUCGCCCUCCCCACCAAGACCGGCGACAGGGCUCUCGAAGAGGUUGAGAAAGACAUCUCCUCGUUGCGGCAAGUGCUCUCUGGUGAUGGAGAAGCAGGAGCAAAUCAAGAGCAAGUCCUGCAAAUAGCACUUGAAAUUUGCAAGGAGGGCGUGCUUUCCCUCUUUGUUCAGAAUCUACCUUCCUUGGGUUGGGGAGUAAGAAAAGAUUUGGUUAUUUGCUGGUGCAUUUUGCUUGGGCAGAAAGUUGAUGAGAAUUAUUGCUGUGUGAAGUAUAUUGCAGAUCACGUGGAGCUUUUAGAUUUCCUAGUUGUUUGUUACAAGAAGUCGGACCUUGCACUGAACUGUGGGAUUAUGGUGAGAGAAUGCAUAAAACAUCCAACCCUUGCAAAAUAUAUAUUGGAAUCCAAUAGCUUUGAGCUGUUUUUCGAGUAUGUUGAGCUGCCGAACUUCGACAUUGCCUCUGAUGCUCUAUACACCUUCAAGGAUUUGCUUACCAAACAUGAAAGUGUUGUGUCCGUGUACUUGAGCUCCCACUACGAGCAGUUCUUUGAACGCUACACAAGGAUCUUAACAUCAGCUAAUUAUGUAACAAGGCGUCAGUCGGUGAAGUUCCUUUCAGAAUUUCUAUUGGAGCCUUCAAACUCUAAAAUAAUGAAGCGAUACAUUCAGGAAGUUCGUUUCCUAAAUAUUAUGAUUGGUCUACUGAAGGAUUCAAGCAAAAAUAUCAAAAUAUGUGCCUUCCACGUUUUUAAGGUGUUCGUUGCCAAUCCAAACAAGCCUCCUGGUAUUAUUGAAGCUUUACGAGACAAUCGCAAAGAAUUGUUGAAACUACUCCACGAUCUUCCUGCAAGUAAAGGUGAAGAUGAACUUGACGAGGAGAGAGACCUGAUCAUUCAGCGAAUCGAGAAGUUGUAA